This is a long non-coding RNA of Salvia miltiorrhiza (redroot sage), 995 nucleotides long. RefSeq lists it as uncharacterized. The transcript has 2 exons. The record is from RefSeq and is a predicted model, not a curated record. NCBI's taxonomy places the organism in Eukaryota, Viridiplantae, Streptophyta, Magnoliopsida, Lamiales, Lamiaceae.
AAAAAAAAAACUCAUAACAUUUUUUUUAUUAAAUAACACUUAAAUAAAAUCUGAAAAUAUUUUUAGAAACCUAAAUACCAAAAUUGAAUAAUAAAAAUUAAACAAAAGAAAAAGGAAAAAGAUUUUCGUUCCUAACAGCCCUAACACUUCUCUAUCUAUUUCGCCUCCCCCCAAAUCCCAAUUUGCCGCGCCUUCCCUGAGUCCGCCGCGCCUUCAUCAAGCUCCCCCAGUCGCGCCUUCAUCCAGCUCCGUCUGCCUCCGUCGCGCCUUCGUUCUUGCUCCGGUGUGUUUUAUUGGCCGAGUGUGCGGCGGCGGCAGGCUAGGGUUUUCAAACCCUAGCUGUGAUGAAGAGAAGAAACGGGUCAAAAAGAUGGGCUAGGGUUUUCCAGACUCCAGUCUUCGCGCGCCUCCACGAUCUGCCGCGCCGCUUCCUUUUCAGACCGCCGUCCGUCUGUCCACUGGCAACUCACGCACACCGCACACGGUAAGCCCUCUCUUUCAGCUGGCCUGCAGCAUCUACAGUCCUCGAACAAUGCGGUUCCUCCAGCUCAGGAUUUUGGAUAUUACAAUGGAGGCGGUCAGGGUUCGAGAAUGUACAAGAGUGUGCAGGCGCAAAGGACGUACAGUGGAGGCGAUUUGUUUGCGGAGCCGUUGACGCUGCCAGGGCAUUCACGGGAAGAAUGGCGAGGAGCUGGUUUGGCCAAAUGAGAGUAGCCCGGGGCUAUUGGAUCUGCAUUCGUUUGACACUGAGCUACUUCCGGAGGUAGAUUUCUUGAUUUGAGAAGUGGAGUAGUUAUUUUUCGUUAAUCAGUAUAUGCUAGUUUGUGGGCGUCGGUUUUAUGGGUUAUGGUUGUAGUUUAUGUGGUAGGAAAUGAACUCUAUCUUACAUUGUGGAUAAAGUAGUAGCUUUAGCCGUCAUGUUCGAUGGUUUUGAUAGAAAUAGGGGUUGUUGUCAGAUGACUCCUGUCUAGCAAUGCAAUUUUAUGCUUUGUAUC